This 73-nucleotide transfer RNA is filed under the name Gastrocopta cristata. RNAcentral's name for it is "tRNA-Gln". The record is from RNAcentral. Lineage: Eukaryota; Metazoa; Mollusca; Gastropoda; Stylommatophora; Pupillidae.
GCGUUAGCUAUGGUUUCUCCUAAGCUUCUGCUUUCUUGGAAAAUCAAAUGUUCCGGUGCUAAACACCAAAGAG